CAAAUUCAUUUUGGAACUGAAUUCUCGUGGGUCUGCACUGACAACACUGACCUGCUGCUGCUGCUGCUCUCCAGUUUGGCCAAUUUUGUUAAUUUUGAAAUUGAAAUUUUGUAGCACCAUGAGAUUCAGCUCUGGCGUGAAUUUC
This is a non-coding RNA of Drosophila ananassae, 145 nucleotides long. The record is from Rfam. NCBI's taxonomy places the organism in Eukaryota, Metazoa, Arthropoda, Insecta, Diptera, Drosophilidae.